UGCUCGAGGACGUUCUUUUCCUACCUCUGCAUUUGAUUUAUAGAAAUGCAUGCUGCACCAUCCAGGUGCAUCCAAGGGAGAAUCAGAAGUGAAGGAACUGUCACAGACUCAGUCUUGCACAAACCAUUGCAAUCUCUAUUCUGCACUGUCCUUCAGUUUCCUGAGGAAGCAAAAAUUCCUCAGGAUUGAAGAGCAUGACCAUGCAUAGCAAACAGCGAGCCAGGGGACGUGUCAGCACUUCUGGUUGAGGACACAACUCUGACACCCCAAGGCCUUGUGGACAGCCUCACACCUUAAAGUCAGAGAGGGUGAUGUUGAGACCAAGAUGAAACCAUGCAGAAGAUCCAUCAGCUUAAGAAGGAACAAUCUACCCUCUCAAAGCUUGAAGCAUGGCUGACAAUAUCCUGCAUAUCUUAGUGGAAUCCUGCUGUUGGAAAUGAGCUGGAACCCAAAGCCUUUCCUCUGACCACAUCCACACGUUAAGCUUACAAGCAACUUUCCUAAGACUUCAA
Molecule: long non-coding RNA, 512 nt
Filed under: Gallus gallus (chicken)
Lineage: Eukaryota; Metazoa; Chordata; Aves; Galliformes; Phasianidae
Description: long non-coding RNA NONGGAT005041
Source: RNAcentral